This is a long non-coding RNA of Mesocricetus auratus (golden hamster), 472 nucleotides long. RefSeq lists it as uncharacterized. Lineage: Eukaryota; Metazoa; Chordata; Mammalia; Rodentia; Cricetidae. The record is from RefSeq and is a predicted model, not a curated record. The transcript has 3 exons.
AUGAUUUAUAUUUCCAUCACUUUUUCUCCCCAGAUUGGUAGUUUCUGGAGGGCAGGGACACUAUGUUCUUCAUGGUUUUCAGUUCUACUGAGUCUGGCUAAGUUUUAGAUAUGAUUAAGCAUAAAGAACUUCUCUGGGCUUUCCUGAAGCACUAUGGAGAUAUUUUAUUCUUCUGUUCAUCAGGGAUACUACUCUCAUACAAGCGAAGAGAAAACAAAAUGACCUGUGACACCCUGAGACUGUCCCAUGACCGAGAGAGAGAUUGUAAAGUUGGUGCACAGUUUGUCUAAAAUAAUUUGUGGAAUCAACUUGGUAGCAAUUGAAUCUGGACUUUGGAUGAGAAUGAAUUCCUUAAACAAUGCAAAUGGAUCAUUUCAACUUUUUGUCCCGUGACAAACCUCACUCAAAUGGGCAUAUCCAGGUUUGAUCCCCAGAAAAACUUUGGUGAAAUAAAGCAACAAGUAUGAGAGAU